This 537-nucleotide unclassified non-coding RNA is filed under the name Athalia rosae (coleseed sawfly). Its description in RNAcentral is "misc RNA ENSAEAG00005006407.1". Lineage: Eukaryota; Metazoa; Arthropoda; Insecta; Hymenoptera; Athaliidae. The record is from RNAcentral.
UUCGAACUCACCCCGCUUUCGAGGUGUUCCUUGUCGGCGGUGAGUUCGAUUUCCUCGUACUCGCCGUUGUCCUCGUUACGGAAUCUGAUGUAGUAGUAGUCGAUGGAGUUCCAGAAUGUACCGGGUCGCUGCCAUUGGAAAUAAAUGGCGUCUUGCGCCUGGCAGGUUAGAUUCAAAAUGCGGGGCGCCCUGGGGCCCGUGACAUCCGUUUUGUGAAUGAUGUGCUCCGACGGCUCCCCCUCGUUUUUCCACGUGUACGCCUUCACCCAUAUCUUGUACUUGGUGAAGGUAGUACAUAUGUCCCCCUCACCCAGGCUGGUCAGGUUGAAAAAUAUGUUCGGCUCGUCGUGGUCGAUAUUCCGGUGCGAUUUAACGUCCGUGUAAUUCGAGUGCAUGUAGUAGACUCUGUAGCCCCUGAUGUCGCCGUUAGCGUUCUCAGGUUCGGCCCAAGAAAGUUCUAUCGACGACGAGGUCACCUGAUGUACGGUCAAGUUCAACGGUUUGCUGGGCACUGAAAUAUCGGAAGGAAAAAAAAAU